This 217-nucleotide long non-coding RNA is filed under the name Helianthus annuus (common sunflower). RNAcentral's name for it is "sRNA HanXRQr2_Chr03g0099841". Lineage: Eukaryota; Viridiplantae; Streptophyta; Magnoliopsida; Asterales; Asteraceae. The record is from RNAcentral.
UUUAAAGUUUAUUUAACUUGAACCAUGCUAAAAAAUGUUAUGGAUGCCAGUUCGUUCGGUCGUACGGUCGCGUUUUUCACUUAAUUACGACGAAUGUUCGAACGGGCGCGAAAACAAUCUAGAUUUCGCAACGGAUGGAAACAAGUUUUGAGCCGGUGAUACACUACGGGAAACGAGAAAGUCAAUGACAAUGAUAGCCGGUUUUGGAGGAUUUGUC